This 757-nucleotide ribosomal RNA is filed under the name uncultured Escherichia sp. RNAcentral describes it as "bacterial SSU rRNA". It matches the Rfam family "Bacterial small subunit ribosomal RNA", at positions 28 to 774 of the family's 1533-position model. The record is from RNAcentral. Lineage: Bacteria; Pseudomonadati; Pseudomonadota; Gammaproteobacteria; Enterobacterales; Enterobacteriaceae.
AUUGAACGCUGGCGGCAGGCCUAACACAUGCAAGUCGAACGGUAACAGGAAGCAGCUUGCUGCUUCGCUGACGAGUGGCGGACGGGUGAGUAAUGUCUGGGAAACUGCCUGAUGGAGGGGGAUAACUACUGGAAACGGUAGCUAAUACCGCAUAACGUCGCAAGACCAAAGAGGGGGACCUUAGGGCCUCUUGCCAUCGGAUGUGCCCAGAUGGGAUUAGCUAGUAGGUGGGGUAACGGCUCACCUAGGCGACGAUCCCUAGCUGGUCUGAGAGGAUGACCAGCCACACUGGAACUGAGACACGGUCCAGACUCCUACGGGAGGCAGCAGUGGGGAAUAUUGCACAAUGGGCGCAAGCCUGAUGCAGCCAUGCCGCGUGUAUGAAGAAGGCCUUCGGGUUGUAAAGUACUUUCAGCGGGGAGGAAGGGAGUAAAGUUAAUACCUUUGCUCAUUGACGUUACCCGCAGAAGAAGCACCGGCUAACUCCGUGCCAGCAGCCGCGGUAAUACGGAGGGUGCAAGCGUUAAUCGGAAUUACUGGGCGUAAAGCGCACGCAGGCGGUUUGUUAAGUCAGAUGUGAAAUCCCCGGGCUCAACCUGGGAACUGCAUCUGAUACUGGCAAGCUUGAGUCUCGUAGAGGGGGGUAGAAUUCCAGGUGUAGCGGUGAAAUGCGUAGAGAUCUGGAGGAAUACCGGUGGCGAAGGCGGCCCCCUGGACGAAGACUGACGCUCAGGUGCGAAAGCGUGGGGAGCAAACA